CGAACCCGAAACGGAAGGAGCUGGCGCCUCCCCGCCCCCAUCUAUCCACUCCGUCCAGAUCCUCCUGUACCCGCAGAAGAUAGAGAGAGGGAUGAUGUGAAGGAGACGAGAGGAAGGAGAAGCCAUGCCCCGUCCACUGGCUGGGCUCUGUUUCAUCACCCCAAUCUUCCUACCUCUAUCCCUUUCUUUCAGAUUUUUUUUGUGUACAUGCAUACAAGGCGCUCGAUGAAAAUCCAAGCAGGUUGCAAGGGAAGGCAAAUUCCAUUUUAUGCUCAUGUGUAAUCAUUGAUUCUUUUUUCCUCACAUUUAGCAUGCAGUCAACUUUUACUUAUAUGUACAAUAUAUUACCUCUUUCAGUUAUAUGACUUGCACACACACAAUAUAUUGCAUCUGUAGGUCAUGUGACUUGCCUACGGAAGAUAUGAGUGUCCUUGGAAAAUAUUAUUAUGCUGGAUCUACUAUGGUUGCCACAUUAUGCAAGUCAGCAUUUAGUGAUCUAAAAGUUUAGACCAUGGCAUUAUGUUCAAUGCUCAGCAAAUACACCCUUCGCAGCGACCCAGACCAGUGCCAUGGCAACAAGCUUGCCCUCCUACC
Triticum dicoccoides is the source of this 594-nucleotide long non-coding RNA. RefSeq lists it as uncharacterized. Lineage: Eukaryota; Viridiplantae; Streptophyta; Magnoliopsida; Poales; Poaceae. The record is from RefSeq and is a predicted model, not a curated record. The transcript has 4 exons.